CCUACGGGUGUCAGCAGUAGGGAAUCUUGCACAAUGGGCGAAAGCCUGAUGGAGCAACGCCGCGUGCAGGAUGAAGGCCUUCGGGUUGUAAACUGCUUUUAUAAGCGAGAAAAAUGACGGUAACUUAUGAAUAAGGAUCGGCUAACUACGUGCCAGCAGCCGCGGUCAUACGUAGGAGGCGAGCAUUAUCCGGAGUGACUGGGUGUAAAGAGUUGGUGAGGUGGCAUAAUCAAUAGCUAAUGUAAUCUGGUGGUUCAACCAUUCAGACUACUAGCUAAACUGUUAAGCUCGAGACCGUUAGAGGUAAGUGGAAUUUCUAGUGUAGGAGUGAAAUCCGUAGAUAUUAGAAGGAACACCAAUAGCGAAGGCAGGUUACUGGGACGGUUCUGACGCUGAGGCACGAAAGCGUAGGGAGCAAACAGGAUUAGAUACCCGGGUAGUC
RNAcentral lists this ribosomal RNA (442 nucleotides) under uncultured bacterium. RNAcentral's name for it is "partial 16S ribosomal RNA". It matches the Rfam family "Bacterial small subunit ribosomal RNA", at positions 338 to 795 of the family's 1533-position model. The record is from RNAcentral.